This 30-nucleotide non-coding RNA is filed under the name Mus musculus (house mouse). Lineage: Eukaryota; Metazoa; Chordata; Mammalia; Rodentia; Muridae. The record is from RNAcentral.
UAGUAAUACUUUCAUACUCCAUAAGGAUCC